GACGAACGCUGGCGGCGUGCUUAAUACAUGCAAGUCUUAGGGGGCUUUUACCUUCGGGUAAAAGUCACUGGCGCACGGGUGAGUAACACGUAAGUUAUCUGCCCUCGGGUCUGGCAUAACUCCGGGAAACCGGAGCUAAUUCCAGAUGAUAUCGUAAGAUCAAAGAUUUUUCGCCCGAGGAUGAGCUUGCGUCUGAUUAGCUAGUUGGCGGGGUAAUGGCCCACCAAGGCGACGAUCAGUAGCCGGUCUGAGAGGAUGAUCGGCCACAUUGGGACUGAGACACGGCCCAGACUCCUACGGGAGGCAGCAGUGGGGAAUUUUGCGCAAUGGGGGAAACCCUGACGCAGCAAUGCCGCGUGGAGGAUGAAGUCCUUUGGGAUGUAAACUCCUUUCGAUCGGGAAGAUAAUGACGGUACCGGAAGAAGAAGCCCCGGCUAACUCUGUGCCAGCCGCCG
This 455-nucleotide ribosomal RNA is filed under the name uncultured bacterium. RNAcentral describes it as "bacterial SSU rRNA". It matches the Rfam family "Bacterial small subunit ribosomal RNA", at positions 28 to 517 of the family's 1533-position model. The record is from RNAcentral.